AUACAGAGGGUGCAAGCGUUAAUCGGAUUUACUGGGCGUAAAGCGCGCGUAGGCGGCUAAUUAAGUCAAAUGUGAAAUCCCCGAGCUUAACUUGGGAAUUGCAUUCGAUACUGGUUAGCUAGAGUGUGGGAGAGGAUGGUAGAAUUCCAGGUGUAGCGGUGAAAUGCGUAGAGAUCUGGAGGAAUACCGAUGGCGAAGGCAGCCAUCUGGCCUAACACUGACGCUGAGGUGCGAAAGCAUGGGGAGCAAACAGGAUUAGAAACCCGAGUAGUCC
Molecule: ribosomal RNA, 274 nt
Filed under: uncultured bacterium
Lineage: Bacteria
Description: partial 16S ribosomal RNA
Rfam family: Bacterial small subunit ribosomal RNA
Source: RNAcentral